Long non-coding RNA from Pomacea canaliculata, 303 nucleotides. RefSeq lists it as uncharacterized. The transcript is spliced from 2 exons. The record is from RefSeq and is a predicted model, not a curated record. NCBI's taxonomy places the organism in Eukaryota, Metazoa, Mollusca, Gastropoda, Architaenioglossa, Ampullariidae.
AAAGAAUCUUCAACAUGUAACACCCAUGACAUUUAGAGAAAAUGUCAUGUGUAUUUACACAUUUAUAAAAGAAAAAUAGAGCUAUAUUUUUUAUGUCGACUCUCGCGGUAACGGGAGUUUGACGAGAGUUUGACCGGUAUAAAUAACUUCCGGUCGAGCUGAGACUUCCUUUCUGUUGAGUGUCGAGGACGAGGGGGUCGAAGUGGAAGGUUGUCCUAAUUCAGGGCAACAUACUUUAACUUUACCCCUUACCCUUCACUUUUCCCCUUCACCUCAUCCCAAUAAAGAAUUCGGGUUGACGAA